UUUGGUUGGUAAGAGAAAGUGUCUGUAUAUUUGCAUCCGCUUAGGAAAACAAGUAGUGUUUAAAUAAGCAAAUGUUCUUCAAACAAGGCUAGAAAAUCAACAAAUAAAUCGUGAAGAUUCGGUGUUAGAUUUUAGUUUUAAAACUUUGAAGAUGUUCAUUGAGAUAUUGAUUGACAAGAAUUACAAUAUGAAAAGUAACAUAUUGUGAUAACCAAAAUAAAAUAAGCACAAAGCUAAUUAAGUCGAUUUAUUUAGUAUCAUAUUAAAUGAUCUUUAAAAAGAUUCGACGAUGAAGAGUUUGAUCCUGGCUCAGGAUGAACGCUAGCGGCAGGCCUAACACAUGCAAGUCGAGGGGCAGCAUAUCUAGCUUGCUAGAUGAUGGCGACCGGCGCACGGGUGCGUAACGCGUAUACAAUCUGCCUAUCACUGAGGGAUAGCCCGAAGAAAUUUGGAUUAACACCUCAUAGUAUUAUUGAAUCGCAUGGUUUAAUAAUUAAAGGUUACGGUGAUAGAUGAGUAUGCGUCCUAUUAGCUAGAUGGUAAGGUAAAGGCUUACCAUGGCUACGAUAGGUAGGGGUCCUGAGAGGGAGAUCCCCCACACUGGUACUGAGACACGGACCAGACUCCUACGGGAGGCAGCAGUGAGGAAUAUUGGACAAUGGGCGCAAGCCUGAUCCAGCCAUGCCGCGUGUAGGAAGACGGCCCUAUGGGUUGUAAACUACUUUUGUACAGGAAGAAAUCUUUUUACGUGUAAGAAGUUGACGGUACUGUAAGAAUAAGCACCGGCUAACUCCGUGCCAGCAGCCGCGGUAAUACGGAGGGUGCAAGCGUUAUCCGGAAUCAUUGGGUUUAAAGGGUCCGUAGGCGGGCUGAUAAGUCAGUGGUGAAAUGCAGGGGCUUAACUCCGGCACUGCCAUUGAUACUGUUAGUCUUGAAUUAUUGUGAAGUGGUUAGAAUAUGUAGUGUAGCGGUGAAAUGCUUAGAUAUUACAUAGAAUACCAAUUGCGAAGGCAGAUCACUAACAAUAUAUUGACGCUGAUGGACGAAAGCGUGGGUAGCGAACAGGAUUAGAUACCCUGGUAGUCCACGCCGUAAACGAUGGUUACUAGCUGUUUGGUACGAUUGAGUACUGAGUGGCCAAGCGAAAGUGAUAAGUAACCCACCUGGGGAGUACGUUCGCAAGAAUGAAACUCAAAGGAAUUGACGGGGGCCCGCACAAGCGGUGGAGCAUGUGGUUUAAUUCGAUGAUACGCGAGGAACCUUACCAGGGCUUAAAUGCAGAUUGACAGGUUUAGAAAUAGACUUUUCUUCGGACAAUUUGCAAGGUGCUGCAUGGUUGUCGUCAGCUCGUGCCGUGAGGUGUCAGGUUAAGUCCUAUAACGAGCGCAACCCCUAUUACUAGUUGCCAGCGAGUCAAGUCGGGGACUCUAGUGAGACUGCCGGUGCAAACCGUGAGGAAGGUGGGGAUGACGUCAAAUCAUCACGGCCCUUACGUCCUGGGCCACACACGUGCUACAAUGGUAGGGACAGAGAGCAGCCACUUCGUGAGAAGGAGCAAAUCUUCAAACCCUAUCUCAGUUCGGAUCGUAGUCUGCAACUCGACUACGUGAAGCUGGAAUCGCUAGUAAUCGCAUAUCAGCCAUGAUGCGGUGAAUACGUUCCCGGGCCUUGUACACACCGCCCGUCAAGCCAUGGAAGCUGGGGGUGCCUGAAGUCGGUGA
RNAcentral lists this ribosomal RNA (1721 nucleotides) under Nonlabens dokdonensis. RNAcentral describes it as "bacterial SSU rRNA". The stretch from base 287 to 1721 matches the Rfam family "Bacterial small subunit ribosomal RNA". The record is from RNAcentral. Lineage: Bacteria; Pseudomonadati; Bacteroidota; Flavobacteriia; Flavobacteriales; Flavobacteriaceae.